This 553-nucleotide ribosomal RNA is filed under the name Gildella suavis. Its description in RNAcentral is "partial 16S ribosomal RNA". It matches the Rfam family "Bacterial large subunit ribosomal RNA", at positions 1796 to 2622 of the family's 2925-position model. The record is from RNAcentral. Lineage: Eukaryota; Metazoa; Arthropoda; Insecta; Mantodea; Haaniidae.
UCGCCUGUUUAUCAAAAACAUGGUUUCUUGAAAUAAUUAAGAAAUUUAACCUGCCCACUGAGAUUGUUUUAAAGGGCCGCAGUAAUUUGACUGUGCAAAGGUAGCAUAAUCAUUAGUCUUUUAAUUGAAGGCUGGAAUGAAUGGUUGGACGAGGUAAAUACUGUUUCAUGGGAAUUUUAUGAAUUUAGGUUUUAAGUAAAAAAACUUAAAUAAAACUAAGGGACGAGAAGACCCUAUAGAGUUUAAUAAAUGAAGACUUGAUUGAGUUAAUAAUGAAUUUUUGAUUAUUUUAGAGUUUAUUUGAUUGGGGUGAUUAAAAGAUAGAUAGAACUCUUUUUUAAAAUAAAUUAUAUGAUUAGGUUUAAGAUCCAAGUUUAAUGAUUAAAAGAUUAAAUUACCUUAGGGAUAACAGCAUAAUUCUUUUUGAGAGUUCUUAUCAAAAAAGGAGAUUGUGACCUCGAUGUUGGAUUAAGAGUAUUAUUAGGUGUAGAAGUUUAAGUAAUAGGUCUGUUCGACCUUUAAACUCUUACAUGAUCUGAGUUCAAACCGGAGA